RNAcentral lists this long non-coding RNA (993 nucleotides) under Fragaria vesca (wild strawberry). RNAcentral's name for it is "long non-coding RNA (FVES_LNC002042)". Lineage: Eukaryota; Viridiplantae; Streptophyta; Magnoliopsida; Rosales; Rosaceae. The record is from RNAcentral.
ACAUGACUACUCUACGUGUUGCCGGUGGAACUCCAUCUAUAUGGGCACACCUCAGACAACGGUGCCACAUCCAUAUUUUACCAUCUCUUUCCCCAGGUAGCUUCAUUGAAGGAAGGCGUCUCACAUUAAUGGUAAGGUUUCCUUGUUGAUGGGUGUAACAUGAAACAUGGGCCUCGGUUGGCUCUUUACAAGAUCGACAGAAAGAUGUCUGCAAGUUAUGAACCUCAUUAGCUAUAAUUCCAUUCUAUAACUUGGAAUAUUAUAAAACAACAAAGAACUACCUGAUCAAAUAGGUCAUCACGAAGGUAUCUGCCCAGUGGCUUAUCAAAGCAGCCAUAGAACUUUAUUCGCAGAAGUCGGGAGCGUUCACAAACAGUUCCUUUCACACAAUGGCUUGAAAAGGAUACCAAUAUGCUUUGAUGAGUGUCAGCAGUAGAGAAGUACUCACUGGAAGGCUCAUUCUGAUCAAUCUUCUCAGAGCUCGUCAAUUCAUGAAUAUCCUCAUGUUGACUCUCAACAUGAGGCAAGGUAUCUUGCAACUCCAGUUGGGAAAUACAUUUUGUUGCAGCAGACUGUGCAAUCAGUGACGAUAUAUCCUUGUAUUGAUGUGAAGAAGUGUCUGAAAACAUGUGAGAUGCUAAAUCAUCAUUAUAUGGAUCAGAAAAUGCGUUUCCAACCUCAAAGUCCACAGAACCAAUAGAUAAAGGAAAACUAUGGUCAGGAACAAGAUGCCCAGACAAAGAAUCUGAUCUAUCAAUUUCUGGGAUCAAGCCCAAAAUAUCAUCAUCUGGAGUAGAAGCAUCAGCUACAGCUUUGGAAUUGCUCGAAGCUAGAGAAUUAGCUGAAAUUGAGUGUCUAGGUGUCAUCUUGGGCAGAGUAGCACCCUCAUCAACAAGGAAUGAUGUUUCCAGGGACAAAUGAUAAGCUGCAAACACUGCAUACUGAACAACAUGUUUGAUCUUCUUCAGUUGUUCAACACACGCACCUUUCAGU